Molecule: long non-coding RNA, 275 nt
Filed under: Suricata suricatta (meerkat)
Lineage: Eukaryota; Metazoa; Chordata; Mammalia; Carnivora; Herpestidae
Description: lncRNA (ENSSSUG00005008529.1)
Source: RNAcentral
UGAUAUUUUAAAAUAUAUGUUUUCUUGUCUUCUCUUCUAGAAUCCAUUUUCCAUGUGAGUAGGAAUUAUCAAACAAAACUGCACUGGACAAGUUGUACAGAUUUUCUGUACCAUGCAACAGAAAAAGGACCCAGCCUCUAUUGUUGUCACCUGCAAGGUUAUUGCUGUUCACAACACCAUGACUUCAUUUCACCACAUGGGAAGAAUGAAAGACGUGUAAGGCAAGUGAUUUUCUUACACAAAAACAUGAUAUGGAAAUUGUGAGCACUGCAUAA